Long non-coding RNA from Oncorhynchus tshawytscha (Chinook salmon), 534 nucleotides. The record is from Ensembl. Lineage: Eukaryota; Metazoa; Chordata; Actinopteri; Salmoniformes; Salmonidae.
AGUGUUCUGAUUGGAGGAGGCUGUAGAUAGUGUUCUGAUUGGAGGAGGCUGUAGAUAGUGUUCUGAUUGGAGGAGGCUGUAGAUAGUGUUCUGAUUGGAGGAGGCUGUAGAUAGUGUUCUGAUGGGAGGAGGCUGUAGAUAGUGUUCUGAUGGGAGGAGGCUGUAGAUAGUGUUCUGAUGGGAGGAGGCUGUAGAUAGUGUUCUGAUUGGAGGAGGCUGUAGAUAGUGUUCUGAUGGGAGGAGGCUGUAGAUAGUGUUCUGAUGGGAGGAGGCUGGUGGCUGUAGAUAGUGUUCUGAUUGGAGGUGGCUGUAGAUAGUGUUCUGAUUGGAGGAGGCUGUAGAUAGUUUUCUGAUUGGAGGUGGCUGUAGAUAGUGUUCUGAUGGGAGGAGGCUGUAGAUAGUGUUCUGAUGGGAGGAGGCUGUAGAUAGUGUUCUGAUUGGAGGAGGCUGUAGAUAGUGUUCUGAUUGGAGGAGGCUGUAGAUAGUGUUCUGAUGGGAGGAGACUGUAGAUAGUGUUCUGAUGGGAGGUGGCUG